UAAACAACAACAAUAUAGUUAUUCAAAUUUUUUAGUACCAUCUGGUCAUUUAAAAAACAGAAUAUUACAUUGUUUUACACAUGAUGCGUUGGUAAUGUAUUCUAUUUUUACGACAUACAUUUGAGCUUAGUUUUUAGCAAGUUGUAUAGGUUGUUCAGUAGAUACUGUAGUAAAUAGCAGAAUUAUGGCAUAGAACAGAUUUGUUAUGGUCAUGUAUAUCUGAUAUAAUAAGAGUGCGUCAAGAUUCUAUGUUUUCUGUGGGCUUCUUGUUUGGCUGAAAUUGAGUAGGAUUUUGAGAAUGUCUAAUUAUCUGUAUUUAGAUCAAUAAUAGUUGGGUGAAAUGGAUGAUGAAAUGGCUGAUGGCUGAUGGAUGACUGGCGAGUUCUUUUCUGAUAUUGAGGAAUAAGCCAAAGUAUUUUCCGCUGUUGAUUUCAUGCAAACAAUGACAUACAAGGAUUGAAAUGCGAUAUAGUGUUGAGUUCCAUCGACGUUUGACAUUGGCUAUGAACUUGCCCAUGUCGAAUGUGGACGCUUGACGCAUGCCCCUGACGAUGUCGGCUGUGGGCUAUGGGCUAUGGGUGCUGGUUGUGUCAUUGCCGUCGUCAGCUACGGGCACUUGCACUUGCCCAUGUUGCUGCGCCCUUUGAAUCUAUAAUAUUUGAAGGUCAAAUCAUUCAUAUGUGCUUACUUAAGAUUGUA
Capsicum annuum is the source of this 699-nucleotide long non-coding RNA. RefSeq lists it as uncharacterized. The transcript has 2 exons. The record is from RefSeq and is a predicted model, not a curated record. NCBI's taxonomy places the organism in Eukaryota, Viridiplantae, Streptophyta, Magnoliopsida, Solanales, Solanaceae.